RNAcentral lists this ribosomal RNA (326 nucleotides) under Microsepsis furcata. Its description in RNAcentral is "partial 12S ribosomal RNA". The record is from RNAcentral. Lineage: Eukaryota; Metazoa; Arthropoda; Insecta; Diptera; Sepsidae.
CUAAAGUAGUAAUAGUUAUGUUCUUGAAACUUAAAAAAUUUGGCGGUAUUUUAGUCUAUUCAGAGGAACCUGUCCUAUAAUCGAUAAUCCACGUUGGACCUUACUUAAAUUGGUUAAUCAGUUUGUAUACCGUCGUUAUAAGAAUAUUUUAUUAGAAUAAUAAUUUUCUAUAAUUUUUAUAAAAAUUUAUAUCAGAUCAAGGUGCAGCUUAUGUUUAAGUAGAGAUGGGUUACAAUAAAAUAAUUUAUAUGAAUAAAUAUUUGAAAUAGUAUUUUGAAGGUGGAUUUGAAUGUAAAAUUAUAAAGAUUAAUAAUUUGAUUUUAGCU